Long non-coding RNA from Physeter macrocephalus (sperm whale), 2085 nucleotides. RefSeq lists it as uncharacterized. The transcript is spliced from 4 exons. Lineage: Eukaryota; Metazoa; Chordata; Mammalia; Artiodactyla; Physeteridae. The record is from RefSeq and is a predicted model, not a curated record.
UGAAACUCUUCCAGUUGGGAAUCAGCCAAAACGACCAUCUUCUAUGAAGGAAGAGAUUCUAUUUACAGGCCAAGUUGGUACUUGCUGGUUUCUGAAGAGGAAAAUGCAACACAGCCAUAGUGAAAACCUUUCAAAUGUUUUUACAGGGAAGGUGAUGGCUUGGCCAUUCUGCAUCGAGUGGAGCCCGCUCUACUACAGCCAGUCAUGGCGCUGGCCCUUGAGAUACUCCUUUUAAAGCCAGGGUUGCUCAACCACUCACAUUUUCAUAAAAAAACUACUGCAACAAAACACAAAACAAACCUGACUUAGCUUAGUGAGAGCUGCUGAUUAAUUGAUGCAUUUGCUUUAUGGUCUAAAAUGGGGUUUUAAUAAAUUUCUGCUCUGGUGGACACAUUCAGAGCCGACGUAUUUUAUAUCUGGGUUGCUUCUUCCUGCCAGGGCUUAGCAUUCUUAUCUCCCUCUGGGUCUCUAGGAAGGCAAAAUGCACACUUACCACUACUUAGAAUCCUACUUGCCUUGGGCGCUCCCAAAUCCCCAAAUGUAUUACAUCAAGUGUGAACAGGUCAACUUGCCCUCACCAUCUCUACGGUAGCUUUAUUUUCAUCAAUAAAUUUAAAGAUAAACUAUCAAAUCAGAAAUCAUGCGCAAAUGCAAACGCAGCGAAGACUCCCUAAUCUAGACUCCACUAACUCCAAGUCUGUCAUGAUUAUUCAUAAGUGUGCAAGUAUAAUAUCAAGAUGAUUUGACUGUAAGCAACAAAGAAUCAAACAAAAAUGGCCUGAACAAAAAAGACAAUUUGUUACCCCGUAUUACAAGAAAUUUGGGGGUUGAGUGCUUGAAAGGCUGAUUAAUUUAGAAACUUGACAAUAGGUCCCACUUUCCCUAUGGUAGCUACAGCCCCUCAUCCUUCAGACUUGCUAAAUGGCUGCAGCAUUGCCACAAAGAUGCUCCCACACAGCAGUGCUUCAAGACUGCAGAGAGGGGCUCCUUCCUCUGUCCCUUUCCCGAGGCUCCGCAGAAGACUCGCCUUCAUGUCACAUUCCACUCCUGUACUGGUCGCUUGGCAGGGGGAACGGAUUUACCAUGGUGGCCAAAGACCAAUUAAGAGUCACCCCUAGACCAUAAAGAGGCCCAAUCUCUGGAGAACACUUGGCUGCUCACUACCAAGCAAAUCUGGUACCCCUGGCAAGAAAGAGAUGGACACUUGGGCUUCUACCACCUUUUUGUUAUUGUGAAUAACACUACUAUGAAAAUGGGUGUACAAACAUCUCUCCAAGUCCCUGUUUUCAAUUCUUCUGGGCACAGAGGUAUACCUAAAAGUGGAGUUCCUGGAUCAUAUGGAACAAAGACUGCUGCCACGUCCUGCCCACAGUCCGCCGCACACAGUGGGGUGUACUUCCAGGACCUUGCUUCGGGCAUGUAACCUCCUCCAUCCAUUAAACCAUCGAUGUCUCUGUCACUGACUCCGGGCCCUUCCUUCCGUCUUGAGGCUGGGCAGGCCUGCGGGGUGCAGCCCAACAUGAGGGAAGAGCCUUAUUGAUCCUGGUCUGAUUCAUUAGGAGUCAUUUGUGUCCACAAGGGUGGGGAAGCACUUGCUUCUUACUGCAUUUUUAUCUUUGUAAACAUAGCCAUAGAACACCAGUUCACAGACUGAUAGGUAAAUGCUGUGGACUGAGUGUUUUGUGUGUCCCCUCCCCAAAUUCAUGUGUUGAAUUCCCAAUGCCCAAUGUGAUGGCAUUAGUAUGUGGGGCCUUUGGGAGAUGCUUAGGUCAUGAGGGUGGAACCCUCAUGAAUGGAAUUAGUGCCCUUAUAAGGAGACCCCAUAGAGUAGUACCCUUGCCCAUUCCACCAUGUGAAGACACAGGGAGAAGAUGUGGGCUGUGAACCAGCACGAGGGCCGUCACCAGCAUGAGACCACGUGGGCAGCUUGAUCUUGGACUUCCCACCCUCCAGAACUGUGAGAAAUAAAUUUCUGUUGUUCAUAAGCUAUGCAAUCUGUGGCAUUUGGUUACAGCAGCCUGAACGGACUAAGACAGUAAAUAAGAAAGAACUUAAUUAUUGUUUGAUUUGAUGCAAUAAAUUUGG